Panicum virgatum (switchgrass) is the source of this 1034-nucleotide long non-coding RNA. RefSeq lists it as uncharacterized. The transcript is spliced from 3 exons. The record is from RefSeq and is a predicted model, not a curated record. NCBI's taxonomy places the organism in Eukaryota, Viridiplantae, Streptophyta, Magnoliopsida, Poales, Poaceae.
GCACAGCACAGGCUCUAUUUACUCUUUCCGGCUGAUUAGGCUUGCAUCAUCUAUACUAAUCAAGUUCGCGGCUUCUGUUCAGAUAAGGGCCGCAACAAAUAUACAUCUCGGUGUUUCAACAUCCAUUUUUGCUAGUUUUCCAUGCACCCAUAACGAUUACAGGCCACAGCCAGUACAUUGGUUAGUGUUAAUGCAUCCAUACCAGUUAGAGGUCUGCAGCUUUGUCUCCUGAUUAAGGUUGCAGCAGAUAUACUGAUUAUGGUCGCACUGUGUACUCAUUAUGGGCGCAGCUUGUGCACUGAUUAGGUGCCAAAGCAUCUAUAAGUAUAAUGAUUAUUAACUUGUUUACCUAUUAGAUCACAAGUAUAAUGAUUAACCUGUGUACUGAUUAGUAUCACAAGUAUACCGAUUAGGGUUCAGCACCAAUUUUGAUUAGUGGCCGAUGCAACCCAUUAAUCUAGUUUUUGGUACUGUUUUUGCCCUGCUACACAUGCAAAUUUCCCUACCUCGUGAGUGAUUGGAUUGGUUUGAGUCAGGGCAAUGAGUAUGAGCCUGCUCCAGGUAAGGUGUACCGGCACUCCUAUUAUCACAAUGGCGUUUGCUGGUCUCAUGGGAACUUCGUGGCUCGCGUAAGAAGCGCACUGGUUAGUUGUCAUUCCUUCCUGCCGCGAGGACUCUCUUUUUCUUUGAGCUUGCUGGUACAAAGGAUUUCAAUGGCAUCGUCACAUGCACCCACUUAGAUGAACCAGUUACUGAAUCUCACAGUGUAUUGGGUUUCCGUCUUGGGUUCUCUACUCGUCGUAGUGGCAAAUUCGAUUCCUUUUGCAAGACGUGCUCCGGGCGCUUUGAUGUUCCACAUCCAGCAUGUGAACAUCAGCAUGUGGAGAAAGUCUGUGGAAUGUGCUAUCUUCGCUCCGAUGUGCUGCAUCCGCGCCCUGGAGAAUUCGCGUUUGGCUAUCACAGUCCCUACUAAGCACUGAUGAUGUCAUCGAUCACUGUGGAUGUGAAAACUGGCUUCUUAGCUUGCUACUUAA